Molecule: long non-coding RNA, 321 nt
Filed under: Androctonus crassicauda
Lineage: Eukaryota; Metazoa; Arthropoda; Arachnida; Scorpiones; Buthidae
Source: RNAcentral
GUAUUGGAUCUCGCAUCUGCUUUAUGACUUUAGCUUCUUCCCAAUGUAUGGUUAUAUCAUCUUCAUAUGCUUUUAGGGAUAGGGCGGUUGUCAUUUUUGCUUUCUGUAUGUCCCUUUUAUGUUCUUCAAUAUGCUGCCCUAGUGUUCUUGUGGUUACGCCCACAUAGGAUGCUUGUUGGUUUGUUUGGUUUUUCAGUAACCGGUAUGGUAUUAAAUACUGUAGGAGCUCGUUCUAGUCUAUUUCUAGGUUCUUUUUCGUUCCAUAUGGCAUUAAAUACUGUAGGGGCUCUUUUAACCACUAUUCUUUUAUCAGUUUGUCUG